GCGCGUCGAGGGCUCCGAGCCAGACGCAGAUCUGAAGAGAUCCAAGAGAUUCAGAAAAAAGAUCGCCAACUUCUUCAAGAAAGGCAAGACUCGUCAUCAGAUCGCCGACAAGAUCCAAGAUAUCAAGGUCCGAGUCAAGGAGGUGGCUGACCUGCGUGAAAAAUACAAGGUCGACGAUGUCCGUGCUAAUCCAGCUGUCACAAACACCGUUGAUCCUCGCAUCAUUGCCCUGUUCAAGGAUCAGAAAGAACUCGUUGGCAUUGAGGAGCCAAGGAAUGAGGUAAUCAAGAGGCUGAUGAUGGAAGGGGAUGAUGACGGUUUGUUGAACUCCAGGAUGCAGCUCAAGAUACUCUCCAUCUUUGGAUUUGGAGGACUUGGCAAGACAACUCUUGCCAAAGCAGUCUAUGAUCUGCAACAAUCAAAUUUUGUUUGCAAGGCUUUUGUUUCAGUGGGUCAGAAUCCUAGUCUGAAGAAAGUUUUCAUGGAUAUUCUCCUCCAAGUUGAUGAGGCAGAGUCUAGUUCGAAUGCAUCCAUGUUGAACGAGGAGCAACUCAUCAGAAAGCUCCGAAGAUUUCUUGAGAACAAGAGGUACAUCUAUUCAUCCCAAUUUUUAAGUUCUUCAAAUGAUAAUGCAAAAGGUGAAGAAGACAGAAAGCAUGGCGACCAACAUGAUCAGGAAUACGAAAAUAGCAUACAUCUAUUCAUCCCAAUUUUUAUGUUCUUCAAAUGAACAAAUAUAGCUAAAACGGAAGGUUUAUUCCUCGUCGAGUUGUUUUGAAUAUCAUGAUUUCCGAUUUCCGUCGGCAUAUUCUUCCGUGAAACUUUGCGUGAUUUACCCACUCUUUUGGAAGUACUGGUGCUUCAGUAUAGUGUGAAUAGAGAAUUGCCUUCCCACUGAUUUUUGUAGAAAUCAUGGAGCACCGGUAGUUACUUAAAAUACUAACGGCGGCCUGACACUAGUGCUUGCUUUAGCUGCCCUUGAGGCUUGAGCGGUGAGAUGCUUGGAAAGUUUUGAGGUUGGAGGGGCAGAAAACUUUACAUUAAUUAUUAUGUACCGUUGAACUUGCAUGUGUCAAAUAUUUGUGUUAGAUGGAUGACGUUUGUACUUGGAUUUUUAAUUAGUGCAGACAGGGCAUAAGUCAUGUUACAGUGCAACAAUUAAUUUGUAAUGAAUUUAAUGUUGGAGUCAGAACUCAAAAAUCAGUUCAUGGCAUUAGUGCAGAUAGUGCAUGUGUAAUGUUAAAGUCCGACAGUUUGCAUCAAUUAAUUUGGAAUAAAUUAAAUGUUAGAGUCGGAACUCAAAAAUGUUGUGAGUCAAUUAACAACAAAUCAAUUAGAUUGAAAACUAUGAGUCGAACCCCUGUCCUGUUUUUAUCUAGUACCAAACCCCGCAUCCUUUAUUUACCUAUGUCUUAAUUUUUCUAUGAAGCACAAGUAUGUAUAUUGAACUAUGCUAUUUUCGGAUUCAUGAUCGUGUUGGUUGCCAUACUUCCUGUCUUCUUAUAAUGCUUAGACGUAUGUUUUUUUCCAAUGCAUGGCUCUCAUGACUGCCAUAUUCAACAGGUACCUCAUUGUCAUUGAUGAUAUAUGGGACAAGUUUCCAUGGAAUAUAAUGAAAUGUGCUUUGAUUGAUAGUAACUGUGGAAGUAGAAUAAUCACAACAACUCGUAUAUUUAAAGUUGCCGAAGAGGCGGACGAUGUUUACAAGCAAAAGAAACUUUCUUCUGGUACAUCCAAGGAAUUAUUCUAUACAAGAUUAUCUAUUGGUAAAUGCAAAAUUACUUCUGGUCAACCGAUUGAGAUAUCUGAAAAGAUUUUACAGAAAUGCGGUGGUGUGCCGUUAGCUAUCAUCACAAUAGCUAGUCUGUUGGCCAGUAAACCAUGGGAGGAUUGGUCUGAGGUGUAUGACUCUAUUGGUUUUCGAGAUGGAGCUAACAUACACGUCGAGAACACAAGAAAGAUAUUGCUAUAUAGCUACUAUGACCUGCCUUGUUAUCUAAGGGCAUGUUUGUUGCACCUCAGCAUAUAUCCUGAAGAUCAUGAGAUUCGGAAGGACACUUUGAUAUGGAAGUGGGUGGCGGAAGGUUUUGUCCAUGAGAAACCAGGGAUGGGGUUAUUUGAGCAGGGAGAGAGGUAUUUUAAUGAACUUAUUAACAGAAGUCUGAUCCAGCCGGUGGAGGAGCCAUAUAAGAGCAUCAUAUAUGCUUGCCGUGUGCAUGAUCUGGUGCUCGAUAUGAUCUGUCGCUUGUCAAAGGAAGAAAAUUUUGUUACUAUCCAUGGAAGUAGUAACACAGAACACCAACCUUCACAAAGCAAUGUCCGUAGGUUAGCUCUUCAAAACAUAGCCAUGGACGAAGAGCCUAAUUCAGAUAACACAGAGAUACGGCAAGUGAGGUCAUUCAAUGCCAUCAUGUGUGAUGUCAAGAGAAGAUCAUUUCUUUCAGGCUUCCAAGGCUUGAGAAUUCUUUCUAUGGAAAGAUGUACUUUUAUAAAUGAUGGUUCUUGUCACCUUGAGAAUCUUGGAAGGCUGCUUCAGCUGAGGUACCUUGGGCUCUUGGAAACACGUAUUACGGAACUCCCAGAAGAAAUAGGCAACCUGAGGUUUUUGCAGGUACUGGACUUGUGGGACACUGGAAUAAAAGAGCUGCCAGAGAGUGUCGGUCAGUUGAGGCGGCUAAAGUGCCUGCGUCUUUCUCGUGGUUUCAAAGGAGCACUGGGCUGGAUCGGUAACCUGGUGUUGCUAGAAGAGCUAUUUUUGCCCUAUGUCUCCUUGGAAAUUGCGAAAGAACUAGGCAAGCUGACAGAGUUGAGAGAGUACGGUGCUCUGUUGGGAGAGUCCGAUGACGCCUUAGUUGAUACUAGUAUACUGUUCAAUAAUAUGAUGGAAUCUCUAGAACAUCUGCAGAAGCUCCAAGCCAUACAAGUUUUUUUCUCGUGGCGGCGUGUUGACCAAGCCAAUCGCGAAGGCUACGUGCUCUCUCGGCACCUCCGUCGUCUGAAUCUGCAGGUCACAAUUGAAAAGCUGCCGGCGUGGAUCAUUUCGUCAAGCCUGCCGAACCUCUCUCACUUGACGAUGGCACUGGUUGCCGUGGAGGCGCAGGAUAUGGAGGUCCUCGGGAGCUUCCCAGAGCUCGUUUCCCUCAGCCUGCUGACUGAUCCUGACGUCAUCAUUCCUGACAUCAUGGGCGGCGGUGCGUACCCAAAGCUAAGAUACUACUCAACGACUGCAUCUGCCAGGUUCCUGCAGGGAGCCAUGCCCAGCCUUGAAUGUGUCCAGUAUUACAUCGGCGGCGAGCGCAAUGGCGCCAAGUUUGAGCGUGACAUUGCUAGCAUCGGGAACCUCCCUUGUCUUGACAGAGUCCAAGUAUUUUUCGAUUGUGCGAGUGGCACGCGGGAGAAGGGAGAGGCCGCGUUGAGGCAGGCAGUCGAGGUCCAUCCCAACAAUAUCCGCGUUGAGAUCUGAGGUUAGUUGUCUUACUAGCUCGAUCUUGGAUUCUUGGGGGAAGUAUUUGUGGUACGUACUGCUCCCUCCCUACUCAUCUUAGUAUGAUACUCAUGACCGCUAAUCAUUUCCAUUUUUUAUUUCAGAUCUAGCUUGUUGCCAGCGAAGCGUCCGAUUCCAAUCAGGUGCACCAAGAGGUACGUUCCUUCCAGGCCUGAUCAUAUCUACUCAACUAGUAUUACCCCAAUUAAUUGAUUCGAUCACAAGGACGCGCUUAUUACCGGAUAACUUUUUAUGUUUCGAAAGCCGUGCUUUUAUACUACAUUUGAAACAAAAGUGCGCAUGUACGUACGUACAUCUGCAUAUGCACUGAUGACUGAUCGGUCUGUCCACCCAUGUCUGUAUAUAUAAUCAUCCUUCUAUGUUUUGGCUCAAUGUAUUUUCCAGAAAUGUUUUCUCCCAACCUUUUUCAAUACUUCUCUUCAAAUACUUUCGUGCCAGAAUAAAAUAACUGACUUUUAAAUAUUGCAAUUACUUUUCUGCAUUUUGAAAUUAUUUUUCAAUCCUACCACUAGAUUUAAAAUGUUUACUUUUCUAGCAUCUUGUAAUAUCUGUUGCCAUAUUAUUUGCCAACGGUUGCAGUAUACUAACUGAAUUGCAAAAUGGUCCGAAGUUGCGCAAUGCCCAUGACGUUUUACCUUUCUGAUUAUUUGCAAAUUUGGACAGAAACGGCGCAGUGCAACACAGGAGGACGGAACCACCAUCUUGAGAAAGUCGAGGCACACCCAAACUACCUGGAGAUUUUGUCAAGCAGCAAAACAUGGCCACGUUGUGUCAAGUACUAAAAUAAUGCAGUUAUUUUAUUGGUGACAAUAUCUUAUUUGAACUAUUUUGUAAUCCCUUAUCAAUUCAAGAUCUUAUUAGAACCGCUUUUGCAAUCUUUUAUUGAUGUAAGAUCAGGCACACCCAAACUACCUUAAGAUGGUACUUUUGUAAUGCAGUUAUUUUAUUUGAACUAUUUGUAAUGUAUUUUGGUCAGAUUUAGGAUCUACUUGUUGGAAUGAUGAUGCUACAGCACCUUACUAAGCUAUCCAUAUUGUUAUUUUUUGAAAGUUUUAAGCUCUUUACUUGAUUUGUGGUGAUCUUACAUAGCAACUGAACUGUUCAUUUUAAACGUGGUGCCCUCAAUGGUAACCAGUUGGCAGAUAAGGCACAUUGAGGAAGUUGACGCAUUUGACUAGAGGCUUAGCAAUAGGUAUUAAAUUACACGCUACAUUCUUCGUUUAUCACCGUCCAAAGCCACGACAACUUUCUGGCUUUCUACUAUAGGUAACUAAUUCUGUUCAAGGGAGUUCACAGCUGAAAUAGCUCAAUCAAUCUGAGCAGAGAGACGAAUGAGAACACUUGGUAACCUCACAGUUGCAGGAGCCAAGCAGAUUCCAGCUGACCGCCGGCCGGCGAUGCAGGCUUGGCCCUCUCCAUCUUCUCCUCCGAUCUGAGCUCUCUUCCUCCUCCUCCUCUGACUCUUUGUCUCCACAUUUCUUUACCGUUAUGGGCUACGGCCCAUCUCUCAAUUUUGAAAAAUUCGAAAGGUGGAUUCUGAAUAUGUAUUUCUGUACAGAAAUUUUUGCAUGUCUGCUAGCUGAACAUGACCUAAUUUUAACCCGAUGAUAAUAUCUCGAUAUAGCUUCAAGGAAUGGAUUACAGAUUAACCCGAGCUAGACCAGCAGGUUCCUGCAGGGAGCCAUGCCCAGCCUUGAACGUGUGGAAUAUUACCUCGGCGAGCGCGAUGGUGCCAAGUUCGAGCGUGACAUUGCCAGCAUCGGGAACCUCCCUUGUCUUGACAGAGUCCAAUUAGCCUUUUACGGGUGUGAGCGUGUCACGCGGGAGAAGGGAGACGCCGCGUUGAGGCAGGCAGUCGAGGUCCAUCCCAACAAUAUCACGGUACUCGUAUGUUUUGCUAUAUAAAACUCCUACUAUCUCUUUCCAACAACAAAGGAUGUACUUUUGUAUCUUUAUGUAUUUUACGAUGCUAUCUGUAAUGUACUCUUGUAUCUGUAUUUUAUGAAGCUACUGCAUCUUACUAAGCUAUCUGUAUUGUAAUUUUGAAAAGUUUUAAGCUCAUUUACUUGAUUUGUGGUGAUCUUACGUAGCAGCUGAACUGUUCAUUCUAAAUGGGGCGCCCUCAAUGGUAAAAUCCUAAAUCCCAAUCUGCUGAGGAAGUUGACGCCUUUGAGCUAGAGGAAGCUGACGCCUUUAAAUAUCAGUACUGUAUGAUUUCAAGGGAUUGUGAGACCUCUUUUGUACAUAAGAAACACUUGUGUUUCUUCUCCAACAGAGGAAACCGCUUUCAGUCAUCUGCCAAAGCCAGUAUAACAUUCCAAGGACAGCAGCUUGGUGUUCCAAUUUGUUAAGAGGGGACAUUCGCCAAAACCACAAGACAUUGGAGGGCAGCAGUAGCAGAGUAUAUAUGAUGCAUACCUUGAGGACGGAGUUGAUGGCGCUGGUGGCAGUGGUCGGUCUGCUUCCGGUAGCGCGCGACGGCGGCGAGCAGCGCGCGGGCCUCCGCCUCCACGCGCUCCUCGUUCUCGAACAGCUGCUGCACGCCGUCCUCCACCCACGCCGCGCUGCUCAGGGCGCUCUUCUUCGCCCUCUCUGCGGAGCAAUUAGAAAGGAGCGCCGAUUCCAGCUGCCCCCCCGGCCGGCGAUGCAGGCUUGGUCCUCUCCAUCUUCUCCGAUCUGAGCUCUCCUUUCUUCUUUCUCCUCCGACUCUCUUUUUUUUUUGAGAAUCUCUCCUCCGACUCUCU
This 6249-nucleotide long non-coding RNA is filed under the name Brachypodium distachyon (stiff brome). Its description in RNAcentral is "long non-coding RNA (BDIS_LNC005367)". Lineage: Eukaryota; Viridiplantae; Streptophyta; Magnoliopsida; Poales; Poaceae. The record is from RNAcentral.